AUUGAACGCUGGCGGCAGGCCUAACACAUGCAAGUCGAACGGUAACAGGAAGAAGCUUGCUUCUUUGCUGACGAGUGGCGGACGGGUGAGUAAUGUCUGGGAAACUGCCUGAUGGAGGGGGAUAACUACUGGAAACGGUAGCUAAUACCGCAUAACGUCGCAAGCCCAAAGAGGGGGACCUUCGGGCCUCUUGCCAUUGGCUGUGCCCAGAUGGGAUUAGCUAGUAGGUGGGGUAACGGCUCACCUAGGCGACGAUCCCUAGCUGGUCUGAGAGGAUGACCAGCCACACUGGAACUGAGACACGGUCCAGACUCCUACGGGAGGCAGCAGUGGGGAAUAUUGCACAAUGGGCGCAAGCCUGAUGCAGCCAUGCCGCGUGUAUGAAGAAGGCCUUCGGGUUGUAAAGUACUUUCAGCGGGGAGGAAGGGAGUAAAGUUAAUACCUUUGCUCAUUGACGUUACCCGCAGAAGAAGCACCGGCUAACUCCGUG
Molecule: ribosomal RNA, 490 nt
Filed under: uncultured bacterium
Lineage: Bacteria
Description: partial 16S ribosomal RNA
Rfam family: Bacterial small subunit ribosomal RNA
Source: RNAcentral